This 254-nucleotide ribosomal RNA is filed under the name uncultured bacterium. Its description in RNAcentral is "partial 16S ribosomal RNA". It matches the Rfam family "Bacterial small subunit ribosomal RNA", at positions 524 to 776 of the family's 1533-position model. The record is from RNAcentral.
UACGUAGGUGGCAAGCGUUGUCCAGAUUUAUUGGGCGUAAAGCGCGCGCAGGCGGUCUUUUAAGUCUGAUGUGAAAUCUCGCGGCUCAACCGUGAGCGGUCAUUGGAAACUGGAAGACUUGAGUACAGAAGAGGAGAGUGGAAUUCCACGUGUAGCGGUGAAAUGCGUAGAUAUGUGGAGGAACACCAGUGGCGAAGGCGACUCUCUGGUCUGUAACUGACGCUGAGGCGCGAAAGGCGUGGGGAGCGAACAGG